RNAcentral lists this long non-coding RNA (1727 nucleotides) under Solanum lycopersicum (tomato). RNAcentral's name for it is "long non-coding RNA (SLYC_LNC000025)". The record is from RNAcentral. Lineage: Eukaryota; Viridiplantae; Streptophyta; Magnoliopsida; Solanales; Solanaceae.
GACCAUAUGUACUAUGGAAUGUCAAAGCCUAAGUAAUGACAAUGACACAAUAACGAAUACUUAUGCUACUGCUUUAAAAUUUACAAGAAAUCUAAAAUACAUUGUCUCUAAUAACGAAGAGAACACCUAAACAAAUGCUACCUGUGAAGAAAGAAUAAUCAAAACUCCUUCAUAUUAUACGGAACAACAAGGUUGAUAGAAAUCAACUUUGAGAACAAAUAAACAUGCUCAAAUGGGAUAUGUUAUCCACACACAAAUAAAGAAACGAGCAUCCAGCAAGAAAACUUCAUCCUGAAAUCAAGAGCUUGAAUAACAACCAAGAAAAGUCAAACUUGAAAGCUAACCGAAACACGACUAAUGUUCUUUGAAAAGAAACAAGAACAAAUAAAAAACGCAGACCUGUUCAAAGAAAAAAAAUCAAUGUCAUUAGGCAACCAUAUGGGCAUGGCAGUAAGCAUACAAACACCAGCAUGCCACUGUCCCUUUUAUUAUUUUUUUAGCACUUUCUUUAGACUAUAGGUAAUAAAGAAAACAUACUAAGGCAACGAGGGUAUACCAUGAGAUUUAACACAAAUUUUCGAACAAAUGGGUAUAUAUUCAAGACCAAAAUAAUGUAAAAUCGACCUUCGAAUGCCGUAACCUUUUUGAUAUAAGACCUAACAAUAAUCUCUCCCUGUAUCAAUGAUAUACUUCCGCUAGAAAUCGGAUUUGAUAUCAUCUUGGAACAACAAAAUCAUUAGACGAGUCAAGAACGCAACACAUGAACUUCAAACAAUCAUCAACCUCACAAAUAAACUUCAAAUUUGAAUAUCUUAAUCAAUUCGUUCAACUUGAGGUGAGAGAAUGAAUGAUAAGACGCCGAAUGUUGAACACCGAUGUAGAUUAGACUAUAAGAAAAAAAGGCUCAAGAAGGAAGAACAACGAAAUAUCGCUUUAGAUAAUACCACAUAGCCUUCUUCAACUCUAACCGGAUACCAUAUCUACUUAAAUGAAUCAACAACAUAUAAGUCAUACCAAUAUCUCCAUUGAAUUAACAUUAAAUAGAUGAACAAACAGCAGAAAAUUUCCAGCAACAAAGUGCUAUUUCACAGAGAAAACGGAGGAGAAAAGGAGAGUAUGUUAUCGAGAAACGAGUUGUACCUUCUUCGUAUAGAGAACCAGAGAUAGGAAUGAGCUUGGAUAGACUUCAAUAUCUUCCUUUAAGAUUCAGAAAUCCAACAAAUUUUGCAACAAAUAACAAAAAAAAAUAAAUUAUCGCAUGUUUGUUAUAUGAAUAUUAUAACCUAGUAAUUCCUUUUCUUGUAAGUUCUUGCUAACAAAAAUGGACUCAAAAUCUUUCUACUUUUUGUAAUAUUUUUUCAAGCUAAAGAAGUUUUUUCCCUUUUCUCUCACUGAUAUUUAUAGGAGAGAAAAAUGGGAAGAAAAUUUUUGGGCGGAAAAUGGAUGGGAUUUGAUUUCGAAAUUCAAAUCCCUCUUCAGCAUAAGCUUCCAACUCUAUCCUUGUACGAUCAUCAACAGAAAAUCGAAGGGAGACAUCCCAUUUUAGAGGAAGGACAAGAGAGAAAGGGAGAUUUCGACCUGGGGCCUUCGAGUACAAUUUUCGUAUAAUAGGAUAAGGGAGAGGGGAAGGAACCCGCCUGGCUACUGGAAAGCUUUACUUUACGCGUGAAGAAGAAGAUGACACAGUAGAUCGGUCGGAAGUUCGGGGUGGGUAUGGUGAGAAUGGG